This 2417-nucleotide small RNA is filed under the name Pongo abelii (Sumatran orangutan). Its description in RNAcentral is "retained intron". The record is from RNAcentral. Lineage: Eukaryota; Metazoa; Chordata; Mammalia; Primates; Hominidae.
UUUCUAAGUUGAGGUGGAGGGUGAUGUGUAAAGUUGCCCUAAGUCACAAACAGGCAGGAGGCUGUCUUUGACGUCAGAAGCCUGGUCUGUCUCCUUUUUGGUGUGGCCUGUCCUGGACUUUGAGAGCCCAGGUGACCCCUGUCCCAGUGAGAAGCCGGAGUUCCAUAAGAGGUCCCCGCAUCAAUGAAAUGAGUGGCGCAGCAAGCCAGGCAGGCAGGGGCGGGGCUUUGCAUCCCUGCUUUGCUGGGUGGUAUUUGUCGGGGUUCCUCACAGCUCACCUGCACCGGCAGCCCUGUUUCGUAGAUUUUGACAAGGUAAAUGUGACAGUGGAGUUGCUGCAACCUGUAACUGCUGUGACAUUUAUCACAAAUCUUAAACACAGGGCUGCUGUUUUUCAGCUGAGAUUGUGUCCUGUGGCAUUUUCCAAAACCAGCUGUAAAGUAUUUCUCUUUAAACAUCUGACCAUUGAUUCUGUAAAAAACCUUUGAUUAAACGUGUUGGAGGUUGUGUAGUGUGUAGAGGCGUUCAUAAGAACUGAGCCCCAUGGCUCACAGGCCUGCAGGGCCCCUUCCUGCCCGACUGCCAGGUGCUGAGGUUCCAGCCCAGCCUCCUCUCUUCAGGCCUUCUGAGUCUUCCGCCUAGGAUUGGGGUCCUCUGUGAGUGAUGAGGGUGCCUGUGGGCCUUUCUCCUAGUGAGCAGAGGUCCGGGCAGGAUCGGGUAGGGGUGGAGAAGCCGCCAGAAGGGACCUGGGCGCCGAGGAGCAAGGCCUGAGCGCCAGGCCCUGUGGAGGAACGUCUGGCAAGCACAGUUCAUUUAUUUGUUUUUAUUUUUAUUUAUUCAUUUUUUUGACACAGAAUUUCGCUCUUGCCGCCCAGGCUGGAGUACAGUGGCACGAUCUCGGCUCACUGCAAGCUCCGCCUCCUGGAUUCAAGCGAUUCUCCGGCCUCAGCCUCCCAAGUAGCCGAGAUUACAGGCUCCCACCACCGUGCCCAGCUAAUUUUUGUUAUUUUUAAUAGAGACGGGGUUUCACCAUGUUGGCCUGGCUGGUCUCAAACUCCUGACCUCAGGUGAUCCUACCACUUCGGCCUCCCACAUGCUGGGAUUACGGGCGUGAGCCACUGCGCCUGGCCUUUUAUUGUAUUUUUUAUGUAUUUUUUGAGACAAAAUCUCUCUCUGCUGCCCAGGCUGGAGGGCAGUGGCACUAUCACAGCUCGUUACAGCCUCAACCUCCUGGGCUCAAGCGAUUCUCCCUGACCUCAGCCUCCCAAGUAGCAGAAACUGCAGGUGUGCACCACCAUGCCUGGCUACUUUUUUUUUUUUUUUUUUUUUUUUUUUGGGUAGAGACAGAGUCUCACUGUGUUGCCUAGGCUGGUCUCGAAGUCUUGGACUCAAGCAAUCCACCCACCUUGGGCUCCCAAAGCGCUGGGAUCACAGGCAUGAGCCAUGCCCAGGCGGAAGCUCAGUUUUAAACAGCUGUUUUCAGAGCCACCAGCUCCAUUUCCUAUGUCCGGCUCCGUUUUAGGCUCACGGAAUUUGAAGACACCCCCACCAGUCAGUUGACCAUUGAUGAGUUCAUGAAGAUCGACCUGGAGGAGGAGUGCGACCCCCCUUCAUACACAGCUGGGCAGAGGAAGCUGCGGAUGAAGCAGCUUGAACAAGUCCUGUCAAAAAAACUGGAGGAGGUUGAAGGUGAAAUAUCCAGUUACCAGGAUGCAAUUGAGAUUGAACUAGAAAACAGCCGGCCAAAGGCCAAGGGGGGCCUGGCCAGCCUGGCAAAAGAUGGCUCCACCGAGGACACUACGUCCAGCUUGUGUGGCGAGGAGGACACAGAGGAUGAGGAGCUGGAGGCCGCGGCCAGCCACCUGAACAAGGACUUAUACCGGGAGCUCCUUGGCGGCGCCCCCGGCAGCUCGGAAGCAGCAGGAAGCCCCGAGUGGGGCGGCAGACCUCCAGCCCUGGGGUCCCUGCUGGACCCCCUCCCCACUGCGGCCAGCCUGGGCAUCUCAGACUCCAUCCGCGAAUGCAUCUCCUCUCAGAGCAGCGACCCCAAAGAUGCUUCGGGAGAUGGCGAGCUGGACCUCAGUGGCAUUGAUGACCUGGAGAUUGAUAGGUACAUCCUGAAUGAGUCGGAAGCUCGCGUGAAGGCCGAGCUGUGGAUGAGGGAGAACGCCGAGUACCUGCGGGAACAGAGGGAAAAAGAAGCAAGAAUAGCCAAAGAGAAGGAGCUCGGCAUCUACAAGGAGCACAAGCCCAAGAAGUCUUGCAAGCGACGGGAGCCAAUUCAGGCCAGUACUGCCAGGGAGGCCAUCGAGAAGAUGCUGGAGCAGAAGAAGAUCUCCAGCAAAAUCAACUACAGCGUGCUCCGGGGCCUCAGCAGCGCCGGCGGGGGCAGCCCACACAGGGAGGAUGCGCAGCCC